Molecule: ribosomal RNA, 259 nt
Filed under: uncultured bacterium
Lineage: Bacteria
Description: partial 16S ribosomal RNA
Source: RNAcentral
CUGCUGCCUCCCGUAGGAGUCUGGGCCGUGUCUCAGUCCCAAUGUGGCCGUCCACUCUCUCAAGCCGGCUACUGAUCGCUGCCUUGGUGGGCCGUUACCCCGCCAACUAGCUAAUCAGACGCGGGCCCAUCCUGUACCACCGGAGUUUUCCCCGCAGCGCCAUGCGGCGCCGCGGGCUUAUGCGGUAUUAGCAGCCGUUUCCGGCUGUUGUCCCCCUGUACAGGGCAGGUUACCCCACGCGUUACUCACCCGUCCGCCA